GAGUUCAAGAGUACGUGAAACUGCUUAGAGGUUAAGCCCGAUGAACCUGAAUAUCCAUUAUGAAAAAUUCAUCGCUAGUAUUGUAAUAUUUAUCAUGUUAUAAAAAUAGUGUGCAAUUUUUUCAUAUAAGGACAUUGUAAUCUGUUAAUGUAUUAAAUAUUUAUCAAAAGGUCUAUUACUUAAGUUUAUUUAAAUUAGUUAUUUUCGGAUUUCUAACAUAGAAUAAAUGUAUUUAGAUUUGAUAAAUCAUUGACAGAUUUAAUUAUAUAUAAUGCUUAAAUUUUAAAAAUUUUACAAUAAUAAAUAAUUCUAUUGAUUUGUUUAUAUUGUAUGCACUUAUAUGAUUAACAAUGCGAUAGAUUCAGGAUACCUUCGGGACCCGUCUUGAAACACGGACCAAGGAGUCUAACAUAUGUGCAAGUCAUUGGGUAUUUUUAAUAAAACCCAAUGGCAUAAUUAACUUAACUGUUUUUAAAUGGGAUUUGUUUAUAUUUUAUUAUGAAAUAUGAAUUCAAUCCCGGGGCGUUCUAUACAGUUAUGUAUAAUGAUAUUUAUAUUAUUUAUACCUCUAACUAGAGC
Molecule: ribosomal RNA, 579 nt
Filed under: Criorhina asilica
Lineage: Eukaryota; Metazoa; Arthropoda; Insecta; Diptera; Syrphidae
Description: eukaryotic LSU rRNA
Source: RNAcentral